Molecule: transfer RNA, 76 nt
Filed under: Klebsiella pneumoniae
Lineage: Bacteria; Pseudomonadati; Pseudomonadota; Gammaproteobacteria; Enterobacterales; Enterobacteriaceae
Description: tRNA-Gln
Rfam family: tRNA
About the family: Transfer RNA (tRNA) molecules are approximately 80 nucleotides in length. Their secondary structure includes four short double-helical elements and three loops (D, anti-codon, and T loops).
Source: RNAcentral
CGGGAGUGGCGAAAUUGGUAGACGCACCGGUUUUUGAUACCGGCAUUCCCUGGGUUCGAAUCCAGGUACCCAGCCA